GGAGGAGCAGACAUUCAGAUGAAGCAGUAAGUGCAGCAGAGCUAAAGGGAGUCGGUGUUGUUAAUAACCUGCAAUCACAUCUGUGUGCAGGCCCGGACUGACCAUCUGUGAGAUUGGGCAAUUGCCCGAUGGGCUGCCUCUUCCUUCUGUAUAUGGGCCGCUAGAAGCAAUUAGAAAUAAAGAAUCGGAACAUCCGUACUGACGAGCUUUGCAGUGUGUGUGAAGGAGUUGAAAUAAUUCCCUCCCUCUUCCUGGGUCCUGAAGUGCUGCACAUUUACAUAACGGCUCAGCAGCCAGCCCAGCCAAUGCUUUCUAUAGGUCAGGUGACUUACUCACUGACCUAUAGGAGAAGAUACAAAUAGGCGCGCCUCUUUUUGAGAGCCUGCAGCCAACUUAUCUCUCUGGCUCCGUGGGGACUGGGGCUGUGCGACCUGCAGGAAUCAAUUAACCCUCUCAGCCUGGAGCUGAACAGAUCUGCACAGAGAGGAAUCAGUAAAGCAGCUGAGCAUAACAGGCCCAAGCUAAAGACAAAACAAUAAAGUUACUUUUGUGUACCCAAUAUAUACAAGCAAGAAAUAGUGAAUACUAUACGUAGAAUCCAGAUAAGGAUUAUGGGAUGCCAAGAGGUUUAUGAAGUGUACGCUAAAUAUUGGAAUACUGGUUGAACGACUUCUCCCCUUGCUGCGGGUUCGGGGCGCUGCAGCAGAACCACCAUUGGAGAGUGGUAAAUGUGGUGCUGAAUGAUGAGCCUGAGGAGGAGGAAGAGAGAAAUGUUCUUAGGAAACUAAAGAACUGACCCCAGAAACAAAGUAUUGGGGGAGCGAUGGACCCAGAGAGUCAGAUGCAGGAGGAGGAUGUUGUGUCUCAUAUAAUCCACAAGGUGGAGACAGAGAGGGAAGAGUUGGUCGGGCAGAUCCUGGACAUGGAGGAGAUGUGUAACAUGUGUGAUACAUUGUGUUCCUUACUGGCACAGGAAUCACAAGGAGCUGCACUGUGUGGGGCUGAGGGGGCACAUAAUGAGGGGGGCACAGAUGGGAUAAUGGCCCCUGGAUUGGCUCAUAUUGUGCUGGGUAUAAGGACACUGAUCUAUGGGCAGGAGGCUACA
Long non-coding RNA from Xenopus laevis (African clawed frog), 1105 nucleotides. RefSeq lists it as uncharacterized. Lineage: Eukaryota; Metazoa; Chordata; Amphibia; Anura; Pipidae. The record is from RefSeq and is a predicted model, not a curated record. The transcript is spliced from 4 exons.